UUCAGGUUUUCGGUUCUCUCUCUCACUCUUUCUUCCUCUUUCUAUUGUCUCCAAAACCUAAAAACUAGACAGGAAAAAAUUCAAAAAAAAUGCAGAAAUCAAACUAAAAACUAGUUUUUGAUAGGGUUAUAGAGAUACGGAAGAUCAAUCGAAAUGGAAAAUUUAAAAAAAAAAAAACAGAAAACUAGGGUUUGUAAUUGAUGUUUGAAUAUUAAUAACGUGCAAUCUUCAAAUUAAGGUACAAAUCAAAGGUAAAACAUCAAUUAACUUGUUUCAAAUAGUUUUCAUUUCAAUUCAUUUUGAUUUUGUUAGGGUUUAGUAAUAAACUUUUGGUUGAUUUUUAUGCAAAUUAAUCUUCCUUAACAGCUUAUGUUGAUUUGUAUUUAACUGCUAAUUUUGUUUGAUUCUGAUUCGUCAAUUUGUUUUUUUUUGUUUCAAAACUUCUUCAUCUAGUUAGAUUUAUAAAUCGGAUAUUAUUUUUUUUCAAAUAUCCUUUAUCUAGUACAGAUCUAUUAAUCGUUGUUGUUUUUUGUUUCAUUUACUAAUGACUUUUAUAAUUUCAUUGCAUGUAAUGAGAUCAAUAUAUUUAUGCAUGGAAACCGAUGAUAUUGAUGCUAAAAAUCAACAUAAACAUCUUUAAAAGAAACAUGGAUUCGUCCCUUCUUAUACAAGUCGACCAUGCAUAAGUGUACAAUCACCAAGUCUGGAUCGCGAUCCUCAAUAUAUAAGUAGAUACUUUAGUAGAGAAGAUGAUUAUGAAAGAGAUGCAUGCCCUCCUGCAGAAAGAUACAAUAAUAAUAUACAAAGAAGAAUAUGAAGUGUUCGUUGGUGGGCUUGAAACAGAUGCAGAUGCAAAUUAUUUAAUGUGUUUAAGUUAGGUAAGUUAUAAAAAUGAGAUUAAUGAAUAGUGCAUUAAGAAUAAGGUUUUGCAUUUGUUAGAUUUGUGUCUGUUGAAUGACACUCUAGACCGAAACGUGAUAUGAAUAGAUAUAUUGUCCCAAAAUGAAUGAAUCACUAUGAUACAUUGCAGACA
Molecule: long non-coding RNA, 1033 nt
Organism: Papaver somniferum (opium poppy)
Lineage: Eukaryota; Viridiplantae; Streptophyta; Magnoliopsida; Ranunculales; Papaveraceae
Exons: 2
Source: RefSeq, a predicted model, not a curated record